RNAcentral lists this ribosomal RNA (468 nucleotides) under uncultured bacterium. RNAcentral describes it as "partial 16S ribosomal RNA". It matches the Rfam family "Bacterial small subunit ribosomal RNA", at positions 28 to 507 of the family's 1533-position model. The record is from RNAcentral.
GACGAACGCUGGCGGCGUGCUUAACACAUGCAAGUCGAACGGAAGGGCCCUGCUUUUGUGGGGUGCUCGAGUGGCGAACGGGUGAGUAACACGUGAGUAACCUGCCCUUGACUUUGGGAUAACUUCAGGAAACUGGGGCUAAUACCGGAUAGGAGCUCCUGCUGCAUGGUGGGGGUUGGAAAGUUUCGGCGGUUGGGGAUGGACUCGCGGCUUAUCAGCUUGUUGGUGGGGUAGUGGCUUACCAAGGCUUUGACGGGUAGCCGGCCUGAGAGGGUGACCGGCCACAUUGGGACUGAGAUACGGCCCAGACUCCUACGGGAGGCAGCAGUGGGGAAUAUUGCACAAUGGGCGGAAGCCUGAUGCAGCAACGCCGCGUGCGGGAUGACAGCCUUCGGGUUGUAAACCGCUUUCGCCUGUGACGAAGCGUGAGUGACGGUAAUGGGUAAAGAAGCACCGGCUAACUACGUG